RNAcentral lists this transfer RNA (84 nucleotides) under Pseudomonadota bacterium. Its description in RNAcentral is "tRNA-Tyr". It matches the Rfam family "tRNA". Rfam says of the family: Transfer RNA (tRNA) molecules are approximately 80 nucleotides in length. Their secondary structure includes four short double-helical elements and three loops (D, anti-codon, and T loops). Further hydrogen bonds mediate the characteristic L-shaped molecular structure. tRNAs have two regions of fundamental functional importance: the anti-codon, which is responsible for specific mRNA codon recognition, and the 3' end, to which the tRNAs corresponding amino acid is attached (by aminoacyl-tRNA synthetases). tRNAs cope with the degeneracy of the genetic code in two manners: having more than one tRNA (with a specific anti-codon) for a particular amino acid; and 'wobble' base-pairing, i.e. permitting non-standard base-pairing at the 3rd anti-codon position. The record is from RNAcentral. Lineage: Bacteria; Pseudomonadati; Pseudomonadota. RNAcentral also lists the same sequence under 2 other names.
CCAGGGGUGGCAGAGUGGUCAAUUGCACCUGGCUGUAAACCAGGCGCCCUUGUGGCUGCGCAGGUUCGAAUCCUGCCCCCUGGA